GACGAACGCUGGCGGCGUGCUUAACACAUGCAAGUCGAGCGGUAAGGCCCUUUCGGGGGUACACGAGCGGCGAACGGGUGAGUAACACGUGGGUGACCUGCCCUUAGCUCUGGGAUAAGCCUGGGGAAACUGGGUCUAAUACCGGAUAUGAACUCCAUAACGCAAUGUUGUGGGGUGAAAGCCUUGUGCGGCUAGGGAUGGGCCCGCGGCCUAUCAGCUUGUUGGUGGGGU
Molecule: ribosomal RNA, 231 nt
Filed under: uncultured bacterium
Lineage: Bacteria
Description: partial 16S ribosomal RNA
Rfam family: Bacterial small subunit ribosomal RNA
Source: RNAcentral